AGAACGAACGCUGGCGGCAGGCUUAACACAUGCAAGUCGAACGGUUGUAGCAAUACAGCAGUGGCAGACGGGUGAGUAACACGUGGGAACCUUCCUAGGGGUACGGAACAACUCAGGGAAACUUGAGCUAAUACCGUAUACGUCCGUAAGGAGAAAGAUUCAUCGCCCCUAGACGGGCCCGCGUAGGAUUAGGUAGUUGGUGAGGUAACGGCUCACCAAGCCUACGAUCCUUAGCUGAUCUGAGAGGAUGAUCAGCCACACUGGGACUGAGACACGGCCCAGACUCCUACGGGAGGCAGCAGUGGGGAAUCUUGGACAAUGGGCGCAAGCCUGAUCCAGCCAUGCGCGUGAGUGAAGAAGGCCUUCGGGUUGUAAAGCUCUUUUACCAGGGACGAUAAUGACGGUACCUGGAGAAUAACGCCCGGCAAACUUCGUAGCCAGCAGCCGC
This 448-nucleotide ribosomal RNA is filed under the name uncultured soil bacterium. RNAcentral describes it as "bacterial SSU rRNA". It matches the Rfam family "Bacterial small subunit ribosomal RNA", at positions 26 to 518 of the family's 1533-position model. The record is from RNAcentral.